This 305-nucleotide ribosomal RNA is filed under the name uncultured bacterium. Its description in RNAcentral is "bacterial SSU rRNA". It matches the Rfam family "Bacterial small subunit ribosomal RNA", at positions 335 to 658 of the family's 1533-position model. The record is from RNAcentral.
GUCCUACGGGACGCAGCAGUGAGGGAUAUUGGUCAAUGGGGGAAACCCUGAACCAGCAACGCCGCGUGAGGGAAGACGGUUUUCGGAUUGUAAACCUCUGUCCUCUGUGAAGAUAAUGACGGUAGCAGAGGAGGAAGCUCCGGCUAACUACGUGCCAGCAGCCGCGGUAAUACGUAGGGAGCAAGCGUUGUCCGGAUUUACUGGGUGUAAAGGGUGCGUAGGCGGCUGUGCAAGUCAGUAGUGAAAUCCAUGGGCUUAACCCAUGGACUGCUAUUGAAACCGCACAGCUUGAGUGAAGUAGAGGU